RNAcentral lists this unclassified non-coding RNA (399 nucleotides) under fungal sp. RNAcentral describes it as "partial internal transcribed spacer region". The stretch from base 1 to 46 matches the Rfam family "Eukaryotic small subunit ribosomal RNA", at positions 1786 to 1831 of the family's 1831-position model. The record is from RNAcentral. Lineage: Eukaryota; Fungi.
AAGUCGUAACAAGGUUUCCGUAGGUGAACCUGCGGAAGGAUCAUUAACACGUUAUCCAACGUAUCAACCAACGAGAACUGUUUUCAACCCUCUCUUCCGGAGAAUGAAUUGAGCUUGCUUAGAGUUGUUGAAUGGGAUGCUUAGCGUCAGACUCUACUCGCCACCGACUUUAAUUGAAAUAUAUUAGGGUUGACAAUUGUAUCUUUUAGGAAGACUAACUCUCACUGUUCAGUCUCCAUUCAUUGACUUUUUCAGUGGGAACCAUUUUUUUAAAACAUAUUUCACCCCUUUUUUGCUAGUUGACUUUUUUAUGUUGUAUCUUUGCUUCGGCAACGGUGCACACGUUUAAUUAUUUGAACGUUAAAUUUACAACUCUUAGCAAUGGAUAUCUUGGUUCUC